Long non-coding RNA from Passer domesticus (house sparrow), 330 nucleotides. RefSeq lists it as uncharacterized. NCBI's taxonomy places the organism in Eukaryota, Metazoa, Chordata, Aves, Passeriformes, Passeridae. The transcript has 3 exons. The record is from RefSeq and is a predicted model, not a curated record.
AGAUGAAACAUCAAAGAGAUGCUGUCUUACAUGGGGAAUAAUAAAGCUUCACAGAAGAAUGAGAUAGAAAAAUGCAUAUCUUCCUCCAGUACAUUCAUGCACAGUUCAACUACAGUUGUUAUUUGAAUGGUCAUACUGCUGCAGCAUUCCAGUCAACAGCCAUAACCCCACUGACUAAAGACUGAACAAACGGGACCUAUCUCUGCCAAGUGGCCCUGAGAGGAUGAGUUUCUCUUUAAUCAGAGUUUCUAUGGACAUGGCACAGUUCAGGGGUGGCUCGGCUGCAUGUGCUUGUGAGGAGACCUCAGGCAGAGAAGACUGAAGAAGGAG